This 2223-nucleotide long non-coding RNA is filed under the name Mus musculus (house mouse). Its description in RNAcentral is "long non-coding RNA chr5:140321621-140323844". Lineage: Eukaryota; Metazoa; Chordata; Mammalia; Rodentia; Muridae. The record is from RNAcentral.
AAAGAAUUAAAUAUGUGCUCCACGGGCGUAGCCUGAGAACAAACCGCAGUCCCGCCAGGGGACCCGGAACCAAACUGGGCCCGGCUGCCUGUCCCGCAGGGCGCUCUUCCACUGCCCCGGGGUGCGCCGUAAUGUAUGGAAUAGCACCGCGCAGGAGGAAAGGUUUGUUUGUUUUUGUUUUUGAGACAAUGUUUCUCUGUGUAGCCUCGAACUCACAAAGAUCCACCCGUGCCUGCCUCUGCCUCCCUGGAAUUAAAGGCUUGCCGCACAACUGCUGGGCACGCUCGGAAAGGGAACAAAGUUUUGGAAAGUUGCGUUGCCUCUGAAUCUUGCCACUUUGUAUACACAGGUUGUUUUGUUUGGGCACUGUUUUGAUUGGUUAGCUUGUUUCACUUUCUUUCUUUUGUGAAUGAGAAGUCCUGGGAAGAAGUCCUUCACGUUGCGGGUCCAGAGCCUGAUGAAAUUUGUCUAGGGGCUAUGUCUUUAGCCUCCUUCCUACCCGUUGCUUUCCUGCCUCUGCGUCAGCUCUAACGUGUUGUGACUAAUGAAUAAAAACCUCUUGGAAUAAAUUAAAACCCGGUUUCUACCAACCAAAAUCCCCCGGACAGCAUCAGAAGCAUAUAGCUGGUAUUUCUCUUUGGUGUAACUGCCUACUUAAAUCUUCCAACAGGCCGGUUUUUUAUGUUUUAUUAUUUUAUUUUGUGUAUGGGUGUUUCAUGUGCAUGCAUGAUGUCCAUAGAGACCAGAUGAGGUCAGCAGAGCCUCUGGAACGGGAGUUAGAUGUCUGUGAGCCAACAUGUGUGUGCUGAGCACUGAACCUGGUGAUCUUAACCUGAGCCAUUUCUCUGGCCCACCACCAAUGGCUUGGUUUGCUUUGGUUGUUUGGUUGUUUUUGUUUUGGGUUUUUUAAAUAAUUUUAUUUAUUGAUAUUAAUAAAUAAUAUUAAUAAAUAAUAAACAAUUUAUUUAUUUAAUACAUUUGAGUACACUAUAGCUGUCUUCAGACACUCCAGAAGAGGGAGUCAGACCUCAUUACGGAUGGUUGUGAGCCACCAUGUGGUUGCUGGGAUUUGAACUCAGGACCUUUGGAAGAGCAGUCAGUACUCUUAACGGCUGAGCCAUCUCUCUAGCCCCUUGUUUGGGGUUUUUUUAAGACAGGGUUUCCCUGUGUAGCCCUGGCUGUCCUGGAACUCAAGGCUAGCCUCAAACUUACAGAGACCCACCUGCCUCUGCCCGCCUCCCAAGUGCUAAGAAUAAAGGAGUGUACCACCUGGCCCCCACCAAUGUAUUUUUAAGGUGCCCUGACUCAUGACUUUGUUCUGUUACUAUAAAAACUUCCUCAUUGCUUCCAGACUGGAAUGUGGAAUAUAGGGUAACCUAAGUCUGUAUUUAUGGGACAUAGUCAUUCAUUUUUGGCUUGAAUAAACAAUCCCUCCAGUUGGUUGGUAGUGGCACAUGUUUUUAAUCCCAGCACUCAGAGGCUGAGGCAAGAGUAUCACUGUGAGUUCGAGCCCAGCCUGGGCUACAAAGCAAGUUCCUGGACAACCAGGGCUACACAGAGAAACCCGAUCUAGAAGAAAAUAAUAAUAAUAAUAAAAUGGACUGGAGAGAUGGCUCAACCGUUAAGAGCACUGACUGCUCUCCCAGAGAUUCUGAGUUCAAUUCCCCACAACCACAUGGUGGCUCACAACCAGCUGUAAUCUGUCUGUAAUGUGUCUGAAGACAGCAACAGUAUACUCACAUAAAAUAAAUAAAUCUUUCAAAACAAAUAAAGAUAAAAAUUUCUCUCAUCCCUUUUGAGAUGAAUGUUGUGUUUUGGGUUCAAACCGAGAAACAGAGUCUUACCCUGUAGCCUAGGUUGGCCCGGACCUCACAGCAACCCAUCAGCCAUCUGAGCACAGGCAAAACGGCCCUGGCCCUCUACUGACCAUUGGUUAUCAGACUAUUGAAUCAAAGGGCCCGAGACUCCUCCUAAGGAUAGCCUCCCCAGGGGGCAGACGCAGGAAGAACUCCUCAUUUGUCAGCUGAAGGUGAGGACAGACUUAGUGCUGAGACACUGAUGAGACUGGGCAACCAAGACAGCUUCCUUCUGCCUUCUCUUCAACCUUUGACUUCAACCCUAGCUAGGCCCCUGACACUGGGACCUAGGGACACCCUGGAUGCAGCUUUGAGUCCCUCUUCCCAGUGAGGCCACACUGAAUAAAGUCCCUUUUUCUGAUUUGCU